CACCGCAUGGUGUAGGGUUGAAAGAUGGUUUCGGCUAUCACUUUAGGAUGGACCCGCGGUGCAUUAGUUAGUUGGUGAGGUAAAGGCUCACCAAGACCGUGAUGCAUAGCCGACCUGAGAGGUAAUCGGCCACACUGGGACUGAGACACGGCCCAGACUCCUACGGGAGGCAGCAGUAGGGAAUCUUCCACAAUGGACGAAAGUCUGAUGGAGCAACGCCGCGUGAGUGAAGAAGGUUUUCGGAUCGUAAAACUCUGUUGUUGGAGAAGAAUGUAUCUGAUAGUAACUGAUCAGGUAGUGACGGUAUCCAACCAGAAAGCCACGGCUAACUACGUG
Molecule: ribosomal RNA, 336 nt
Filed under: uncultured bacterium
Lineage: Bacteria
Description: bacterial SSU rRNA
Rfam family: Bacterial small subunit ribosomal RNA
Source: RNAcentral